CUUGCGGUGUCUUGAAGGCCGGCC
Molecule: non-coding RNA, 24 nt
Filed under: Arabidopsis thaliana (thale cress)
Lineage: Eukaryota; Viridiplantae; Streptophyta; Magnoliopsida; Brassicales; Brassicaceae
Source: RNAcentral